This 392-nucleotide ribosomal RNA is filed under the name uncultured bacterium. Its description in RNAcentral is "partial 16S ribosomal RNA". It matches the Rfam family "Bacterial small subunit ribosomal RNA", at positions 523 to 918 of the family's 1533-position model. The record is from RNAcentral.
CUACGGAGGAUCCGAGCGUUAUCCGGAUUUAUUGGGUUUAAAGGGUGCGCAGGCGGCCAUUUAAGUCAGCGGUUAAAUCGUGGGGCUCAACCCCAUUCUGCCGUUGAUACUGGGUGGCUUGAUUGCGGUCGAGGUUGGCGGAAUUCGUUGUGUUGCGGGGAAAUGCAUAGAUAUGACGAAGAACACCGAUUGCGUAGGCAGCUGACCAGACCGCAAAUGACGCUCAUGCACGAAAGUGCGGGGAUCGAACAGGAUUAGAUACCCUGGUAGUCCGCACAGUAAACGAUGAAUACUUGUUUUCGGCGAUAUAAUGUCGGAGGCAAAGCGAAAGCGAUAAGUAUUCCACCUGGGGAGUACGCCGGCAACGGUGAAACUCAAAGGAAUUGACGGGG